GACGAACGCUGGCGGCGUGCUUAACACAUGCAAGUCGAACGGAAAGGCCCUGCUUGCAGGGUACUCGAGUGGCGAACGGGUGAGUAACACGUGGGUGAUCUGCCCUGCACUUCGGGAUAAGCUUGGGAAACUGGGUCUAAUACCGGAUAGGAACCAUCUUUAGUGUGGUGGUUGGAAAGUUUUUUCGGUGUAGGAUGAGCUCGCGGCCUAUCAGCUUGUUGGUGGGGUAAUGGCCUACCAAGGCGGCGACGGGUAGCCGGCCUGAGAGGGUGUACGGCCACAUUGGGACUGAGAUACGGCCCAGACUCCCACGGGAGGCAGCAGUGGGGAAUAUUGCACAAUGGGCGCAAGCCUGAUGCAGCGACGCCGCGUGGGGGAUGAAGGCCUUCGGGUUGUAAACUCCUUUCGCUAGGGACGAAGCUUUGUUGUGACGGUACCUAGAUAAGAAGCACCGGCUAACUACGUG
Molecule: ribosomal RNA, 466 nt
Filed under: uncultured bacterium
Lineage: Bacteria
Description: partial 16S ribosomal RNA
Rfam family: Bacterial small subunit ribosomal RNA
Source: RNAcentral